Molecule: ribosomal RNA, 424 nt
Filed under: uncultured Dialister sp.
Lineage: Bacteria; Bacillati; Bacillota; Negativicutes; Veillonellales; Veillonellaceae
Description: bacterial SSU rRNA
Rfam family: Bacterial small subunit ribosomal RNA
Source: RNAcentral
CCUACGGGAGGCAGCAGUGGGGAAUAUUGGGCAAUGGGCGCAAGCCUGACCCAGCAACGCCGCGUGAAGGAAGAAGGCUUUCGGGUUGUAAACUUCUUUUCUCAGGGACGAAGCAAGUGACGGUACCUGAGGAAUAAGCCACGGCUAACUACGUGCCAGCAGCCGCGGUAAUACGUAGGUGGCAAGCGUUAUCCGGAUUUACUGGGUGUAAAGGGCGUGUAGGCGGGAUCGCAAGUCAGAUGUGAAAACUGGAGGCUCAACCUCCAGCCUGCAUUUGAAACUGUGGUUCUUGAGUACUGGAGAGGCAGACGGAAUUCCUAGUGUAGCGGUGAAAUGCGUAGAUAUUAGGAGGAACACCAGUGGCGAAGGCGGUCUGCUGGACAGCAACUGACGCUGAGGCGCGAAAGCGUGGGGAGCAAACAGG